AACCAAGAAGGUGAUAAAGAAAGUCUGCUAGCAAGACAUAAGUCACAAUCUUUUGUAAUCUAUUUAUGAAAGUGACAUCCCAUCAUCUUGACCACAAUCUAUUGAUUAGAAACAAGUACAGCUCACCCUCAACAAGAGGAGAUAAUAUCCAGGUGUGAAUUGCACAAGACUAAUCCAGUGGAAAAACUAUAUUCGACCCAAGGAUCUGUAUCCACACAGUUUGACAAUAAUUUACUUCUUUCUGGAAGCGAUGAGCACAGUGUAAUUCCUGAGAAAUUUUAAUAAUGAUAUUUUAAUUAUAAUUAAGUGAAACCUAGCAAAGUUGGCUGUAUCUGGAGGAACUCCACUGUGGGAAACAGAUUCUUAAGAUGGCUGAAGAUGGCUGUUUCGCUGCAUCAAUGUGUGACUUUCAAUAGAUGAUCGAAGAUGGCUGUUUGGCACUGUGUCUGAAUUAAGCCAGAAGGAAGGAGGAAGAAGAUGAAGAAAAGGCAUGCCUCUACCCCUUAGGACCACGUCUCUGAAGCUGUAUACAACAUUUCUGCUCUCAUAUAAUUGGGCAGAACUUAGUCAUAGAGCUACAUGUAGUUGCAAGGGAAGCUAUAUGCACUAAUGUGCUUAGUUAAACAUUGGGAUUCUCUUACUAAGGUACAUAAGGAGAACAUAUAUUUGGAGAGGCAACUAUCCAUCUCUGCCACAAGAUCUGAAACAAUUAUUGUGAGACUAUAAACAUAGAAAAAAGCUCCAGAGAUCAGGGGGAAGUCAGAAAUUAUUUGGGAUUCCAGUGAAUGGAAUGUUGACCAUAAAUGAGAAAUGAUGCUUGGGAUAAUUCCUAGCGAGCAUUGGCUUUUAGAGUUGGGAUUGAAGUCAACCAGCUAUAAAGAGCAAGACUGGGUGGGGUACUUUGAAAUGUCAUAUCAUUGUGUAUGGCUUUUGUGGUAGUUACUGCUUCUUUUUAGAAUAAUUCUCAUAACUAGGUAGAAAGCUCACCUUUGAAACUUCUGCAUGCCUAAUAAAAUGCUUCACUCACACCCAGUUGUUUUACUCAAGCGAGUAGUUUUAUGGUAACUGCAUUUGGGGUAACAGUCUUACAGAAGAGUUAACACAAUGGGCAGAUUCCAGGUGUGCUGUCAUUUGGAGGAGGCAAAUCCAUACAGACAAGAAGUAGAUUAGUGGUUGCCUAGAGCUGGAGGAGGGUAGGGAUAAGGAAUGGAUUACUACUGGGACUGGGUUUCUUUUUGGGGUGAUGAAAAUUUUCUAAAAUUGAUUGUGGUGAUGGUUGCCUAACUCUGUGAAUAGCAAUGAAUUGUGCUAUUGUACACUUUAGGUAAAUGGUAUGGUAUAUGAGUUAUAUCCCCAAUAAAG
RNAcentral lists this long non-coding RNA (1362 nucleotides) under Homo sapiens (human). Its description in RNAcentral is "non-protein coding lnc-SPRY2-132:9". Lineage: Eukaryota; Metazoa; Chordata; Mammalia; Primates; Hominidae. The record is from RNAcentral.